GUACAGUUAGCCAAGUGGCCGACGGCAGUAGGCUGUUAACCUACCGUGAGAAAUCCCAUCGCAGGUUCGAAUCCUGCACUGUACG
Molecule: transfer RNA, 85 nt
Filed under: Caudoviricetes sp.
Lineage: Duplodnaviria; Heunggongvirae; Uroviricota; Caudoviricetes
Description: tRNA-Asn
Rfam family: tRNA
About the family: Transfer RNA (tRNA) molecules are approximately 80 nucleotides in length. Their secondary structure includes four short double-helical elements and three loops (D, anti-codon, and T loops). Further hydrogen bonds mediate the characteristic L-shaped molecular structure. tRNAs have two regions of fundamental functional importance: the anti-codon, which is responsible for specific mRNA codon recognition, and the 3' end, to which the tRNAs corresponding amino acid is attached (by aminoacyl-tRNA synthetases). tRNAs cope with the degeneracy of the genetic code in two manners: having more than one tRNA (with a specific anti-codon) for a particular amino acid; and 'wobble' base-pairing, i.e. permitting non-standard base-pairing at the 3rd anti-codon position.
Source: RNAcentral